GAUGAACGCUGGCGGCGUGCCUAAUACGUGCAAGUCGAGCGAACGGACGAGAAGCUUGCUUCUCUGAUGUUAGCGGCGGACGGGUGAGUAACACGUGGAUAACCUACCUAUAAGACUGGGAUAACUUCGGGAAACCGGAGCUAAUACCGGAUAAUAUUUUGAACCGCAUGGUUCAAAAGUGAAAGACGGUCUUGCUGUCACUUAUAGAUGGAUCCGCGCUGCAUUAGCUAGUUGGUAAGGUAACGGCUUACCAAGGCAACGAUGCAUAGCCGACCUGAGAGGGUGAUCGGCCACACUGGAACUGAGACACGGUCCAGACGCCUACGGGAGGCAGCAGUAGGGAAUCUUACGCAAUGGGCGAAAGCCUGACGGAGCAACGCCGCGUGAGGGAUGAAGGUCUUCGGAUCGUAAAACUCUGUUAUUAGGGAAGAACAUAUGUGUAAGUAACUGUGCACAUCUUGACGGUACCUAAUCAGAAAGCCACGGCUAACUACGUG
RNAcentral lists this ribosomal RNA (497 nucleotides) under uncultured bacterium. RNAcentral's name for it is "partial 16S ribosomal RNA". It matches the Rfam family "Bacterial small subunit ribosomal RNA", at positions 28 to 507 of the family's 1533-position model. The record is from RNAcentral.